Zootermopsis nevadensis is the source of this 961-nucleotide non-coding RNA. NCBI's taxonomy places the organism in Eukaryota, Metazoa, Arthropoda, Insecta, Blattodea, Termopsidae. The record is from RefSeq and is a predicted model, not a curated record.
CGGGCCUAUUCGUCGGUUUGUUUCCGGAGAAAGCCGAACAAUAUACUUCAUAUUGCGAACAUAGCGACGCACAACAAGCAGACGUCGGCCUGGUAUCGGUUGAUUCAGGUUAGUCAGGAGUCAGAUUGGCCCGACUUCAUCAGAACUACCUGCGUUGCGCUAUUUUGCGAUUGCACUUUCGAAGUACGCAUUUGUUUUCCAUUUUCGACAACCCCUCUGUUUAUUUACACAGUGUUAUCGUGAACUUUGAAACGGACAUUUUAUUUUCGGGAUGAAAGUCAAAUGACAGUGUUAAUGAAACAUAACACAGUGAGCAGACAGUAACAUUACAAUGUAGUGCUUUAAUAUACGUAGUUAUUUUUAAUUUUUGUGGAAGCUUGAGACUUUUAAAUCAGACAGAUAAGUAAAUUAAUACAAUUUUGUGAACGUGGUGAUUAAAAAUACGUUUGCUGAAUUGAACAUAUACGGCAGCCGGAAGAACGAGUCGACUGUUCAACAACAUUGAACGAGUCCAACCCCGACUGUGGGGUGUCUUCAGGGCAGGCAGAAAAAACACCAAAUUUGAACGGAGGGUGUUGGACUACGCUUCAGUUUGCAACACGACUUCUCGUGAUUGAAUUUCUUCUCUUCGCCACCCCAUCAAGACCGGCGCUGGCGUCAACCCAGCAUCCAAUCCAGUGGAUAUACUGGCUUUUUCUUCGGAUGUAAAGUAGGAGUGUGAAACACCCCUGUAGUACAUCCGUCUAAAUUUGAGGCUUUUGUGUGUGAAACUAUACAUUCAUGCCCCCUAUACGCCUUCAUGAUGUGAUGCUUAGUUCAAAGGGAAGAAUGCCGUACCUUCACCUGAAUUAAUAAUAAUAAUAACCUUGUCGUAGUUAUUAGGUGGCUAGAUUCCGAUCGUAUGGUUUUAGGGGUCGCUAAAAAAAACUCAAAUCCUUGGUUCGAAUCCCUGUCGGUGCAU